Long non-coding RNA from Esox lucius (northern pike), 848 nucleotides. Lineage: Eukaryota; Metazoa; Chordata; Actinopteri; Esociformes; Esocidae. The record is from Ensembl.
CUCAGAAUACUGAGAGAUGCAGUUGUGAUGUUUGAUUUUUAUUAUUAUUAAAUAAAUUAGAUUAAUUGUACCGCAUGCUGGAAGACAUUAGGGAACUACUUCACUUGCCUGCACUUGCCUUUAGUAUAUUCUCAAAUUUGUACCUGUCAUUCUUCAAACCCAUUGGACAAGGUCUGGGGGAGGGACUUAAUUUCAUCCAAUAGACUGUAUGGGAUAUGUUGAAGGGGCCACUAGUUCCAUUUCCUGUACUCUCCCUAUAGUUCCCCUCAGUCUUCACAGCACAGUUCCUGUUUCAUUGUAGUGGAUGUGAUGUGAUGAAUGAACAUUCAUUUGACUGGGAUUUGUUCUCAGGUAAGCGCAAGUGUCCAAAAAGAUGGUUUGAGUUUCAGUCACAAUGCUUCCUGAUUGACUAGACUGCGAGGACCUGGCGUGAAGCAGAGCACAACUGUGUCUCUGGGCCGGAACCUAGAGUCUGAGCAUGAUUCCGACAGCUACUCUAGACACUUGGCAUCGGUGCACAACCCUGAGGAAUUCCAGUUCCUGCAGGCACUAACACAGACUGUGAGCCUCCUGCUCUGGAUUGGAGGUUCAGCCCAGAGAAACCCUGGAAUGAUGCAACAUGUGGAAUGAAGUUUCCCUCCCUGUGUUCUCUAAGGACAGAGUAGAUCUGGCAGAAUCAGACUUCAGUGUCUCUGAACAGACUAAGGAUAAUCAAAAGCAUGAAUGUUCUUGUGAAUGCUCCUGAUUUGACUAAUAAAACAAGUGCACACAUUCCUCUUGCCAGAAUUAUUGCCUCCAUGAUACUGCCCUGCAUUAAUCUUUAUACCUUCUAUACAAUGCAAACCUAC